Molecule: ribosomal RNA, 253 nt
Filed under: uncultured bacterium
Lineage: Bacteria
Description: partial 16S ribosomal RNA
Rfam family: Bacterial small subunit ribosomal RNA
Source: RNAcentral
UACGUAGGGUCCGAGCGUUGUCCGGAAUUAUUGGGCGUAAAGGGCUCGUAGGCGGUCUGUUGCGUCGGGUGUGAAAACUUACAGCUUAACUGUGAGCGUGCUUCCGAUACUGGCAGACUUGAGGUAUUCAGGGGAGAACGGAAUUCCUGGUGUAGCGGUGAAAUGCGCAGAUAUCAGGAGGAACACCGGUGGCGAAGGCGGUUCUCUGGGAAUAUCCUGACGCUGAGGAGCGAAAGUGUGGGGAGCGAACAGG